This 503-nucleotide ribosomal RNA is filed under the name uncultured bacterium. RNAcentral describes it as "partial 16S ribosomal RNA". It matches the Rfam family "Bacterial small subunit ribosomal RNA", at positions 30 to 523 of the family's 1533-position model. The record is from RNAcentral.
AUUGAACGCUGGCGGCAGGCUUAACACAUGCAAGUCGAGCGGAGUGAUGGUGCUUGCACUAUCACUUAGCGGCGGACGGGUGAGUAAUGCUUAGGAAUCUGCCUAUUAGUGGGGGACAACAUCUCGAAAGGGAUGCUAAUACCGCAUACGUCCUACGGGAGAAAGCAGGGGAGCACUUGUGACCUUGCGCUAAUAGAUGAACCUAAGUCGGAUUAGCGAGUUGGUGGGGUAAAGGCCUACCAAGGCGACGAUCUGUAGCGGGUCUGAGAGGAUGAUCCGCCACACUGGGACUGAGACACGGCCCAGACUCCUACGGGAGGCAGCAGUGGGGAAUAUUGGACAAUGGGGGGAACCCUGACCCAGCCGUGCCGCGUGUGUGAAGAAGGCCUUAUGGUUGUAAAGCACUUUAAGCGAGGAGGAGGCUCUUUUGGUUAAUACCCAAGAUGAGUGGACGUUACUCGCAGAAUAAGCACCGGCUAACUCUGUGCCAGCCGCCGCAGUAA